GCUCAGGAUGAACGCUAGCUACAGGCUUAACACAUGCAAGUCGAGGGGCAGCAUUUCAGUUUGCUUGCAAACUGGAGAUGGCGACCGGCGCACGGGUGAGUAACACGAAUCCAACCUGCCGAUAACUCGGGGAUAGCCUUUCGAAAGAAAGAUUAAUACCCGAUGGCAUAAUUAGACCGCAUGGUCUUAUUAUUAAAGAAUUUCGGUUAUCGAUGGGGAUGCGUUCCAUUAGGCAGUUGGUGAGGUAACGGCUCACCAAACCUUCGAUGGAUAGGGGUUCUGAGAGGAAGGUCCCCCACAUUGGAACUGAGACACGGUCCAAACUCCUACGGGAGGCAGCAGUGAGGAAUAUUGGUCAAUGGGCGCAGGCCUGAACCAGCCAAGUAGCGUGAAGGAUGACUGCCCUAUGGGUUGUAAACUUCUUUUAUAUGGGAAUAAAGUUUUCCACGUGUGGAAUUUUGUAUGUACCAUAUGAAUAAGGAUCGGCUAACUCCGUGCCAGCAGCCGCGGUAAUACGGAGGAUCCGAGCGUUAUCCGGAUUUAUUGGGUUUAAAGGGAGCGUAGGUGGACAGUUAAGUCAGUUGUGAAAGUUUGCGGCUCAACCGUAAAAUUGCAGUUGAUACUGGCUGUCUUGAGUACAGUAGAGGUGGGCGGAAUUCGUGGUGUAGCGGUGAAAUGCUUAGAUAUCACGAAGAACUCCGAUUGCGAAGGCAGCUCACUGGACUGCAACUGACACUGAUGCUCGAAAGUGUGGGUAUCAAACAGGAUUAGAUACCCUGGUAGUCCACACAGUAAACGAUGAAUACUCGCUGUUUGCGAUAUACAGUAAGCGGCCAAGCGAAAGCAUUAAGUAUUCCACCUGGGGAGUACGCCGGCAACGGUGAAACUCAAAGGAAUUGACGGGGGCCCGCACAAGCGGAGGAACAUGUGGUUUAAUUCGAUGAUACGCGAGGAACCUUACCCGGGCUUAAAUUGCAUUUGAAUAAUCUGGAAACAGGUUAGCCGCAAGGCAAAUGUGAAGGUGCUGCAUGGUUGUCGUCAGCUCGUGCCGUGAGGUGUCGGCAUAAGUGCCAUAACGAGCGCAACCCUUAUCUUUAGUUACUAACAGGUCAUGCUGAGGACUCUAGAGAGACUGCCGUCGUAAGAUGUGAGGAAGGUGGGGAUGACGUCAAAUCAGCACGGCCCUUACGUCCGGGGCUACGCACGUGUUACAAUGGGGGGUACAGAAGGCAGCUACCUGGUGACAGGAUGCUAAUCCCAAAAGCCUCUCUCAGUUCGGAUCGAAGUCUGCAACCCGACUUCGUGAAGCUGGAUUCGCUAGUAAUCGCGCAUCAGCCAUGGCGCGGUGAAUACGUUCCCGGGCCUUGUACACACCGCCCGCCAAGCCAUGAAAGCCGGGGGUACCUGAAGUACGUAACCGCAAGGAGCGUCCUAGGGUAAAACUGG
This 1446-nucleotide ribosomal RNA is filed under the name uncultured organism. RNAcentral's name for it is "SSU rRNA". It matches the Rfam family "Bacterial small subunit ribosomal RNA". The record is from RNAcentral.